GACGAACGCUGGCGGCGCGCCUAACACAUGCAAGUCGAACGAGAGAGAGGGAGCUUGCUUCCUCGAUCGAGUGGCGAACGGGUGAGUAACGCGUGAGGAACCUGCCUCAAAGAGGGGGACAACAGUUGGAAACGACUGCUAAUACCGCAUAAGCCCACAGGUCGGCAUCGACCAGAGGGAAAAGGAGCAAUCCGCUUUGAGAUGGCCUCGCGUCCGAUUAGCUAGUUGGUGAGGUAAUGGCCCACCAAGGCAACGAUCGGUAGCCGGACUGAGAGGUUGAACGGCCACAUUGGGACUGAGACACGGCCCAGACUCCUACGGGAGGCAGCAGUGGGGAAUAUUGCACAAUGGGGGAAACCCUGAUGCAGCGACGCCGCGUGGAGGAAGAAGGUCUUCGGAUUGUAAACUCCUGUUGUUAAGGAAGAUAAUGACGGUACUCAACAAGGAAGUGACGGCUAACUACGUGCCAGCAGCCGCGGUAAAACGUAGGUCACAAGCGUUGUCCGGAAUUACUGGGUGUAAAGGGAGCGCAGGCGGGAAGACAAGUUGGAAGUGAAAUCUAUGGGCUCAACCCAUAAACUGCUUUCAAAACUGUUCUUCUUGAGUAGUGCAGAGGUAGGCGGAAUUCCCGGUGUAGCGGUGGAAUGCGUAGAUAUCGGGAGGAACACCAGUGGCGAAGGCGGCCUACUGGGCACCAACUGACGCUGA
This 708-nucleotide ribosomal RNA is filed under the name uncultured Lachnospiraceae bacterium. RNAcentral's name for it is "bacterial SSU rRNA". It matches the Rfam family "Bacterial small subunit ribosomal RNA", at positions 28 to 749 of the family's 1533-position model. Lineage: Bacteria; Bacillati; Bacillota; Clostridia; Lachnospirales; Lachnospiraceae. The record is from RNAcentral.